Molecule: non-coding RNA, 83 nt
Organism: Canis lupus familiaris (dog)
Lineage: Eukaryota; Metazoa; Chordata; Mammalia; Carnivora; Canidae
Source: Rfam
GCCUGGGUGGCUCAGUGGUUGAGCAUCUGCCUUCAGCUCAGGGUGUGAUCCCAGAGUCCUGGGAUCAAGUCCCACAUCGGGCU